GGCGACGUGGCCAAGUGGUAAGGCAGGGCUCUGCAAAAGCUCCAUCACCGGUUCGAAUCCGGUCGUCGCCUCAA
This 74-nucleotide transfer RNA is filed under the name Anaerolineaceae bacterium. RNAcentral describes it as "tRNA-Cys". It matches the Rfam family "tRNA". Rfam says of the family: Transfer RNA (tRNA) molecules are approximately 80 nucleotides in length. Their secondary structure includes four short double-helical elements and three loops (D, anti-codon, and T loops). Lineage: Bacteria; Bacillati; Chloroflexota; Anaerolineae; Anaerolineales; Anaerolineaceae. The record is from RNAcentral.